GCCGGGCGUGGUGGCGCAUGCCUGUAAUCCCAGCUACUCAGGAGGCUGAGGCAGGAGAAUCUCUUGAAACUGGGAGGCAGAGGUUGCAGUGAGCUGAGAUCACGCCACUGCACUCCAGCCUGGGCGACAGAGUGAGACCCUGUCUCAA
RNAcentral lists this small RNA (148 nucleotides) under Papio anubis (olive baboon). RNAcentral's name for it is "Metazoan signal recognition particle RNA (ENSPANG00000049794.1)". Lineage: Eukaryota; Metazoa; Chordata; Mammalia; Primates; Cercopithecidae. The record is from Rfam by way of RNAcentral.